Molecule: non-coding RNA, 73 nt
Organism: Potamilus streckersoni
Lineage: Eukaryota; Metazoa; Mollusca; Bivalvia; Unionida; Unionidae
Source: the annotation of a GenBank genome assembly
GCCAUGGUAGCUCACAUGGUAGAGCAUCUAACUCCUAAUUCAAUGGUUACAGGUUCAAUACCUGCCCAAGCCA